GAUGAACGCUAGCGGGAGGCCUAAUACAUGCAAGUCGAGCGGUAGAGUGACUUCGGUUGCUUGAGAGCGGCGCACGGGUGAGUAACGCGUACAUGACCUACCUUCAAGACCGGGAUAGCCCUGGGAAACUGGGAUUAAUACCGGAUGUGAUAAUAGAUAUAGAGAUUUAUUAUUAAAGUUGAGGCGCUUGGAGAUGGGUGUGCGUCUGAUUAGCUAGUUGGUGAGGUAACGGCUCACCAAGGCGACGAUCAGUAGGGGGCGUGAGAGAGUGACCCCCCACACGGGUACUGAGACACGGACCCGACUCCUACGGGAGGCAGCAGUAAGGAAUAUUGGUCAAUGGGCGCAAGCCUGAACCAGCCAUCCCGCGUGCAGGAUGAAGGUCCUAUGGAUUGUAAACUGCUUUUAUCAGGGAAGAAACGCCUUCAUUUAUGAGGGUCUGACGGUACCUGAGGAAUAAGCACCGGCUAACUCCGUGCCAGCCGCCGCCGUAACAC
Molecule: ribosomal RNA, 497 nt
Filed under: uncultured bacterium
Lineage: Bacteria
Description: bacterial SSU rRNA
Rfam family: Bacterial small subunit ribosomal RNA
Source: RNAcentral